Molecule: ribosomal RNA, 245 nt
Filed under: uncultured bacterium
Lineage: Bacteria
Description: partial 16S ribosomal RNA
Rfam family: Bacterial small subunit ribosomal RNA
Source: RNAcentral
GAUCCUGGCUCAGGAUGAACGCUGGCGGCGUGCCUAACACAUGCAAGUCGAACGGAGUUAUGAUGUGAGCGGGAAGUGCUUGCACAGCCCAAUCUUUUCAUAACUUAGUGGCGGACGGGUGAGUAACGCGUGGGUAACCUGCCCUGUACUGGGGGACAACAGUUGGAAACGACUGCUAAUACCGCAUAAGCGCACGGGAUCGCAUGAUCCAGUGUGAAAAACUCCGGUGGUACGGGAUGGACCCG